UUCAGGAGAGUAUCUGUGUGUUGCUGAAAAUGAGAUGGGAGGAUGAUAUCUCUGAAAGUACAGGUUGAAAUGUUUAUCGUUAUCACUGCUUUUUGAUAUUUGUGUUACGACUAUUACAUUCGUAAUCAGUUUUAAUAAGCAGGUUAAUCAGUAAUCAGUUUAGUCCACCACUGUUAAUAUUUGUGCUGCAGUUGCAGGCGGUUACUCUCACUGGGAGCUGUGGGAGCCAUGCAGUGUCACAUGUGGGUGUGGCCUCCAACAGUGAAUCAGAUUUUGCAACAACUCAAAACCAACCAAAGGGGGAGCAGCAUGUGAGGGUUCAGAUGUUGAGUCCAGGCAGUGCCAGACAUCCUUAUGUUCAGAUUAUUUAUUUGUUUGUUUUAAAAAAAAACCCUUAAUAAAUUAAACAAAUAGAAAAAAUUACAGUCAUAUUCAUACAUACUCAUUCUCUCUGUAUCUUGCUCUUUGUCUGUCCUUGGUAUCUGUCUGUCUGUAGGAGACUCUCUCCAUAGGGCUCGUGCCAGUGUGAUCGGGAUGGUGAAUGAUCGUGAGUUUGGUGUGUCUUUCCUUGUAGUGAACAUCAGUGAGAACUCAGAGCAGAUGCAGCAUACUGGAGGUUCACAUGGAGAACGUUCCUCCCAGUGUGGGUCCUUUGCUGAAAGUUGUUGUAUCUGCUUUGACUCCGGUGUACUGGACGGCUGUUCAUGUAUCAGCAGGAAUGAUGAACGGCUUCACCAUCAGCCGCAGGAAUUUCAGACAAGAAUCCUAACUGGAGUUUCACACAGGAGAGAUCUUAAGAAUAACCCAUGUGGUGAGAGGUGUGGAUGCAGAGGGAGUUUUGCUAGUCGAUGUGGUCAUUAAUGCAUUUAUUCCUGCAGUGUUUUUAUCCCCAGUGCUACAUCAGCAGGUCUUAAUUUACGCUUCAUUAGAACUUCACAUUAAUCAUCGAUGCAUUAAUAACAUUAAUCAGAUGUGUGGAAUAAAGAUCAUCUUGGGUAAAACUCCUUGUUUCUAGGAGUUUGAUGAGACGUAUGUGCAAGUUGGCUCUGGUCAGAUUUACUCCUGGUCUACCCAGAAUUCUUUUCAGCAGGGUGUCAGCUCGGUGCUGACUCUGCGCUGUAAUCACUCGCUGGAGUUUGAUGGAUCAGUGAAAUGUUUCGCUCCACUACUGAAGCAAAUCUGUCAGACAUCAGCAGCUCCUACAACAUGCUCAACUUCAGGCUGUACUUUCACAUCACAGCCACAUUAUCACUGCCAGGUCAUCACAACCAUACAACAAUACUAAUGACAAUACUCACAUCACAACCAUACAACAAUACUAAUGACUAUACUCACAAAGUCCAUCAAUUUCAUCAUGGUCAUGUUCGGGGCUGAGCAGGAGGACCGACAUACACCAUGUCUGGAACGUCAGUAAAAGUCCAAAAUAAUUCUGUAAAAAACCUUCAGUUUUGCUACAUAAUUAUAAAAUAGAUCAGGGCAUGCGUGUUUUAUUUUGUGUAGAUGAUGAGGGAGAGAAAUGCCCAGAAGGAUUCUGGAUGAAGCAUUUUACUGUGCUGACGAGGAUGAGUGUGUGUGUCAGAUUCUCUAUGUUCUCAGUCCUGCAUUAACAUCAUGGAGGGCUUAGCUGCAGCUGUCCAUCAGGAUUCACCAUCAACACCGAGAGCAACAGCUGUCAAGG
Molecule: long non-coding RNA, 1678 nt
Organism: Ictalurus punctatus (channel catfish)
Lineage: Eukaryota; Metazoa; Chordata; Actinopteri; Siluriformes; Ictaluridae
Exons: 4
Source: RefSeq, a predicted model, not a curated record